GUUCUCUGUUUGCAGCUUUGUUGUAUUAGUCCUAUGGGACGUUGCAAAUGACAAAGCCAGCAAUUGAAGCAACUUCUUACUUGCAGGAAGUCUCGUUUGGCUACUUGGUGAUACAGGACAGCUUAAUGAUGACAGGCGAAGAGGGUAUGGUUUUCUGUGAUCUUAUUGUUGGGAAAAGCAAUAUCUUCACCUUGGCAAUGGUUUCAUGUGGAAACAGAUUAUUUUGACCACUCUGGAUCUCCCAGAUAUAUUUUCGAAGAGGUAUGGGUAAUGAUUAAAUUGUUCCUCUAGACGACUCAUCAAAACAACUUGUGGACGUAAUGUCACAAUACUCUUGUGGGUGAUUGCACUUGGUGCGAUGAUAUUACACGGUGAAGCUGCGUUGGUUCUUUUGUACAACAAACACCAAGGUUGUGGAACGUACAAUCAUUGAGUAUUUCUGACAUAAAAAGAGCAACUGAAAUAUCCUUGAAGAAACACUAAUGAUGAUCCACAAAUACGCAUGACAUUAGCACUCCAUGAGAUAUUUUUGAGGCAAACAUCCACAAAAUGGUUUAAAUGCUGAGGUCACGUUCAGUGGUUGGCAAACAAUUGAAAUUUAACCCGAAUUAUUUGGAUCAAGUUCACGUACACCCUCUGCCAAAAUAUUUCACAUGGAGUUAGCCAUAGAAUUUCAAUUGACAAAACAACCAAAAUGUUAUUCUUUUUAAAAAUUUUAAUUUUCUUUUAUUUCAUAUCUCUUUUUAGUAUGAAAUGCACCAGUCGGGGAAUAUAUAUGUAUAU
Long non-coding RNA from Solanum tuberosum (potato), 783 nucleotides. RefSeq lists it as uncharacterized. NCBI's taxonomy places the organism in Eukaryota, Viridiplantae, Streptophyta, Magnoliopsida, Solanales, Solanaceae. The transcript is spliced from 2 exons. The record is from RefSeq and is a predicted model, not a curated record.